Phasianus colchicus (ring-necked pheasant) is the source of this 1091-nucleotide non-coding RNA. The record is from RefSeq and is a predicted model, not a curated record. Lineage: Eukaryota; Metazoa; Chordata; Aves; Galliformes; Phasianidae.
GCGUUCUUAAAGUGAAUGCGAACUGCUGCGGUGCUCUUGUCUGAAGUAAGCUGUGCAGAGCAGGACUGCCUGAGCUAGCACGUGGCACGUCGAGGCACUGCCGUUUUCCACACCGAACAAGAAUGGGAUCCUGAAGCCCUCUGGUGGAUGUGCUGCAGAAGGCAGAGAGCUGAGGAGAGAGUUAUGGUUCUGUUAAGGAAGCCUCUGGCGUGGCUGUAGGGGAAUGUUCAGGAACCAUUGUGAUGAAUUCCAAUUAAGACUCUUCCUGACACCAGGGGAUGCAGAAGUCAAAGAAUGCCCUGAGCAGCACAGCAUAAGACUGCGUGGAGCACAGAUAAAGGUUUUAACAGAUCUGCCCUGUGCAAGCCAUCCAGCUUCUAGCCCCCAUCCUGCUGGGCCAAAAGGACAUGAGAGCUGCAGAGAACAGGACUCAAAAGUGCUGCCCAGUUUUUAAUAGCAUGGUCCCUGUUCUUCCCAGCAAAGUAUGGCAUUGGAGAACUCACAAGAUUCCUCCCUCUCAAAAAAAAACCAAAAAAAAACAAAAAAAAAACCAACAAACAAACAAACAAGAAAAACUGUUACAGGAGAAGAUGCACAGCAUUUCUGCUUGGUCCAUUAGAUAAAGCAACCAUAGCAGAAGAGCUGAGAAUGAUGUGAAAGAAAUGAAGGGAGAGCUAAAGAAGAAGAACAAAGAAAUGAAGAGCUAUUUGUGAGAAAAAUAAAAAGAGAGAAAUGUAAUGGAAAUGUUCAUUAUUAUUCAGAAUAAUACUUAGCACUGCAACAGAAUUUUCUUUCCAGGAUCUUAAAGGUGAGCUGGUGCUAAUUAAUUCAGCUGCACCGUACCUCUGUGGACUAGGAACUACUGUUAUCCCCAUUUUACAGAAGAUUGGAGUUGAGACAUAAGGGAGAAAUUGAACUUGACAAAGGUUCACUGGAGCCAGGUGGAGAACUGGGGAGUCUGAACUCCCAGAUACCUACUCCCAUACCAGUAAUGCUGAUCUGGAUAGAAAAGUGCCCUGGGAAUGAAAAACAGUAAAAGAGAGAGAUAGAAGUGAAUUAGAGUAUGAGAAAGAAAUGAGAGAAAGGGAAGA